This 964-nucleotide ribosomal RNA is filed under the name uncultured marine bacterium. Its description in RNAcentral is "bacterial SSU rRNA". It matches the Rfam family "Bacterial small subunit ribosomal RNA", at positions 56 to 1064 of the family's 1533-position model. The record is from RNAcentral.
UGCAAGUCGAACGAAGUAGUAAUACUUAGUGGCAGACGGGUGAGUAACAUGUGGGUAUCUACCUUAUGGCCUGGAAUAACACGAGGAAACUUGUGCUAAUACUGGAUAAGUCUUUACGGAGAAAGCUUUAUGCACCAUUAGAUGAGCCCGCACUUGAUUAGUUUGUUGGUAGGGUAAUGGCCUACCAAGACUUUGAUCAAUAGCUGAUUUGAGAGGAUGAUCAGCCACAUUGGGACUGAGACACGGCCCAAACUCCUACGGGAGGCAGCAGUGGGGAAUCUUGCACAAUGGAGGAAACUCUGAUGCAGCGAUGCCGCGUGAGUGAAGAAGGCCUUUGGGUUGUAAAGCUCUUUCGUCGGGGAAGAAAAUGACUGUACCCGAAUAAGAAGGUCCGGCUAACUUCGUGCCAGCAGCCGCGGUAAUACGAAGGGACCUAGCGUAGUUCGGAAUUACUGGGCUUAAAGAGUUCGUAGGUGGUUGAAAAAGUUGGUGGUGAAAUCCCAGAGCUUAACUCUGGAACUGCCAUCAAAACUUUUCAGCUAGAGUUUGAUAGAGGAAAGCAGAAUUUCUAGUGUAGAGGUGAAAUUCGUAGAUAUUAGAAAGAAUACCAAUUGCGAAGGCAGCUUUCUGGAUCAUUACUGACACUGAGGAACGAAAGCAUGGGUAGCGAAGAGGAUUAGAUACCCUCGUAGUCCAUGCCGUAAACGAUGUGUGUUAGACGUUGGAAAUUUAUUUUCAGUGUCGCAGCGAAAGCAAUAAACACACCGCCUGGGGAGUACGACCGCAAGGUUAAAACUCAAAUGAAUUGACGGGGACCCGCACAAGUAGUGGAGCAUGUGGUUUAAUUCGAAGAUACGCGCAGAACCUUACCAACACUUGACAUGUUCGUCGCGACUUUAAGAGAUUAAAGUUUUCGGUUCGGCCGGACGAAACACAGGUGCUGCAUGGCUGUCGUCAGCUCGUG